Molecule: unclassified non-coding RNA, 332 nt
Filed under: soil metagenome
Description: partial contains 5.8S ribosomal RNA, internal transcribed spacer 2, and large subunit ribosomal RNA
Rfam family: 5.8S ribosomal RNA (bases 1-120)
Source: RNAcentral
GAUGAAGAACGCAGCGAAAUGCGAUAAGUAGUGUGAAUUGCAGAAUUCAGUGAAUCAUCGAAUCUUUGAACGCACAUUGCGCCCUUUGGUAUUCCUUAGGGCAUGCCUGUUCGAGCGUCAUUUAAACCUUCAAGCUAAGCUUGGUGUUGGGUGACUGUCCGCUUCACGGCGGACUCGCCUCAAAAUUAUUGGCGGCCGGUACAUUGGCUUCGAGCGCAGCAGAAACGCGAACUCGGGCCCGUCGUAUUGGCUCCCAGAAGCUAUCUUCACAAUUUUGACCUCGGAUCAGGUAGGGAUACCCGCUGAACUUAAGCAUAUCAAUAAGCGGAUGA